AGGGCACCACCAGGAGUGGAGCCUGCGGCUUAAUUUGACUCAACACGGGAAAACUCACCCGGCCCGGACACCGUAAGGAUUGACAGACUGAGAGCUCUUUCUUAAUUCGGUGGGUGGUGGUGCAUGGCCGUUCUUAGUUGGUGGAGCGAUUUGUCUGGUUAAUUCCGAUAACGAACGAGACUCUGGCCUAUUAAAUAGACGAUAUAUUAAAAAGUAUAUCGCACUUCUUAGAGGGACAAGCGGCGUCUAGCCGCAUGAAAUAGUGUUUUUUUCAGGUCUGUGAUGCCCUUAGAUGUCCGGGGCUGCACGCGCGCUACACUGAAAGAAUCAGUGGGCGUUAAACCUAGUUCGGAAGAACCGGGUAACCCAAGUAAAUUCUUUCGUGCUUGGGAUAGGGAAUUGCAAUUAUUUCCCUUAAACGAGGAAUUCCCAGUAAAUUCGGGUCAUAAGCUCGAGUUGAUUACGUCCCUGCCCUUUGUACACACCGCCCGUCGCUACUACCGAUUGGAUGACUUAGUG
Molecule: ribosomal RNA, 519 nt
Filed under: uncultured eukaryote
Lineage: Eukaryota
Description: SSU rRNA
Rfam family: Eukaryotic small subunit ribosomal RNA
Source: RNAcentral